Molecule: long non-coding RNA, 389 nt
Filed under: Athene cunicularia (burrowing owl)
Lineage: Eukaryota; Metazoa; Chordata; Aves; Strigiformes; Strigidae
Description: lncRNA (ENSACUG00000014498.1)
Source: RNAcentral
UUCUGAUUCUUGAACCCUUCAGAAUUCAUUGCUGUUACUGUAGAAAUGCAAACAAAAGAGGUUUUAUUUUCUCUUUCAGGGAAAUCUUGAAGAGUCUUCCACUUUUAAUCCUCCAGUCAUUGAUUGCACUGUAAGGACGUUGUGGUGAGGUGGUGGGAGUAAAAAGCAACUGCUUUCCUGGCCCUUUACAACCUAGUUAAGAAUUUGACUGAUAGAAUGUUGGCACCAGCUGUGAAAGAGCUGAUCAGCCUCACCUCCAAUGUCUCAAAAAAAACAACAGCAUCGAGGAUCAUAUAGAAAGAUGUUUGGACUAAUCCUCCCAUACCAAUUUGUUAUCAGAUGCUCGAAUAUAUGAAAAUAUAGGUAGAUCACUGCGCAUAGGUUCAACU